This 301-nucleotide ribosomal RNA is filed under the name uncultured bacterium. Its description in RNAcentral is "partial 16S ribosomal RNA". It matches the Rfam family "Bacterial small subunit ribosomal RNA", at positions 509 to 807 of the family's 1533-position model. The record is from RNAcentral.
CAGCAGCCGCGGUAAUACGUAGGGUGCGAGCGUUAAUCGGAAUUACUGGGCGUAAAGCGUGCGCAGGCGGUUGUGCAAGACAGAUGUGAAAUCCCCGAGCUUAACUUGGGAACUGCAUUUGUGACUGCACGGCUAGAGUGUGUCAGAGGGGGGUAGAAUUCCACGUGUAGCAGUGAAAUGCGUAGAUAUGUGGAGGAAUACCGAUGGCGAAGGCAGCCCCCUGGGAUAACACUGACGCUCAUGCACGAAAGCGUGGGGAGCAAACAGGAUUAGAUACCCCGGUAGUCCCUGUCUCUUAUAC